Molecule: long non-coding RNA, 166 nt
Organism: Hyla sarda
Lineage: Eukaryota; Metazoa; Chordata; Amphibia; Anura; Hylidae
Exons: 2
Source: RefSeq, a predicted model, not a curated record
CAGGAAGCAGAAAGAAGGCCGGAACGGAGGACAGAAAAGCUAUAUCAGUGCACCGGGGGAGCUGUGGAUGAGUGUGCCUGAGAUUCCACCAAAGCCUGGAGAACUGAAGACAGAACUGCUGGGAUUAAAGUCAGAGAAAGCAAAUAAACAGACAAGCUAGCAGUCA